GGGGAUGUAGCUCAGUGGUAUAGCAUAUGCUUUUUCAUGUAUGAGAUUCUGGGUUCAAACCCCAGCAUCUUCA
Non-coding RNA from Pangasianodon gigas (Mekong giant catfish), 73 nucleotides. The record is from the annotation of a GenBank genome assembly. Lineage: Eukaryota; Metazoa; Chordata; Actinopteri; Siluriformes; Pangasiidae.